AUUCUAUCAUCAGAGCUGUUGGAGAAGAAUAAGUGGAGAUUUCAUGAUGUCCUUCUGGGGAAUUUUUAUCUUAAAGCAUUUGUUCCAAACCAGGACAAGAGGGGGUUUGCUUUUUCACUGUGCCUAUAGUCUUUCUUACCUGAAUAAAAUUGUCGAAAUCUGUGCCUCAUUACAUGCAAUACAUAGCAUGGAACAGGAAAAAAAAAUCCCAUUUGGUAAGACAGAAAUCAUGCUAACAAAUUUAUUUUUAACUUUCCAAAGAAAUACAUAAUUCCCUUUGGAAGCAAAGCUUGAUAAUAGAAAUGUAAACAUUUUACAGAAUGUUACUUUAAAUUAAGAAUGUAAAAAACAGUAGUCUAAAUACGGUAUAAACUAGUAUUAGAGCCUUCACAUUUCAACUUAACUCCCCUUUAACCUUCAAUAUAUUUCCAUUUUUGGUCAGAUUUAGUCAAGCAAGUAUUGAUGUCUUCCCUUUUCCUUUCUCAGAUUUUUUUUUCCCAUUGUAUAGCCAGCAGGUAAGAAUUUGCCAGCACAAAUGUUAAUUCCUUUUUUUCACUCCCAUCCGCUGACAGCCUUUUUGCAUUCUCUUCUCUUUCCUCUUUCCAAAUUGUCCCCAUCUGCCUCCCGCUGUAUCUGCUUUGAAGCUCCACACAAAAAUGUUGUUGAUUCCAAGGAUGAGAUUUGUCUUUAUUUUAGGACUUUUAAUACCCACGAAUGGAGAAGAAGGUACCAAUGACGAGGCUUCCCCAGUUGGGAAGUUUAAAGAAAAGAGGGUAAACUGGGCAGAGUGGAUAGGCUCUGAGGAUGUUGCUUUUUCCCCUCUGUCCUGGCUUUGCCUAGAGACAGCCCUGCCCAGGGAACAGUCCCACCGCCCAUUUCCCCAAAGCUCCUUUUUCUCUUCUGCUUAGGUAGCGGUUGCCUGACUUCUCCCUGCAAAGGGAGUCUGCUAGUGUGGCCAGUGCUGCUCCCAGAUGUCCUUGCUUCCCUCUCCUCACUGGUUUCCAUUUGAUCCCUGAACUGUCAGAUUCCUCUCCCACAUCCCUUGGUUCUCAGAUCCUGCACUGACCACAGCCCUGCUUAGCCACCAGUUCAGAGUUGGGAAGUAUAGCCCCGGCCUCUCCAUGUCAUCCUUCCUUAGCCUUUUCCUGGUGCUGGGAAAACACUCCAUACUUAGAUGCCACUCCCGCUAGCGAAACCACACUCGGAAUAGUCAGAGAAGCUACCUGAUUCCCACUUAAGUGUCGAUGAAAUUUAGAGACUCAUUAGGAGGCCUCUGGAUCACCGGUGCUGGAGGCAGAGACAGAGAGAAGUCAAGUGAACAACCGGAAGCUGCUCCGCUGGUAAUGGCGGGCUUCAGGUUCCUCUGCCUCGGGUCUUGUCCACCCUCACUAUGAUCUUCCCCUUUCCUUGCUUCUUUCCGACUUGUUAAGGAGUCUUCUAGUGGAGGUCAUUUGUUCACAGUCGUUAUUUCUAAGUGGCUGGGGAAGAAGAGAAAAAGAAACAAACCAACUAAACACACAUAUUUCUGAAUCUCCUGAAUUUUUUAGCCAAGCUUAUAAAAAAAACUAACUGCAACAUGAAUGAAAAAUCAACUUUGCAGAAAGUUGUGAGUACAUCUAUCAUAUUUCAUUUUAACAUUUAAAUUCUUUUGUACACACUUUAUGCUUUCUUUUUACAGCAAUAAAAUUACAGCAAAACUGAGGACCUGCUGUGCUAUGAAACAACAGCAUAAAGUGCUUUUCUGGUGGCCACUUAGCUACGUGAAGGGCCCAGGUUAACUAAAGUUAGGGAAAACGGAAAUGCUGACAUUUCUUUAAACAAUAAAAAUUACAAGUGAUUGCCAGAGUGCCAUGAGUUGACAUUUACAGAGAUUGUUCUUCGAUUAUAUAUAUGAAAUAUCAUAAGUAAUUAGCUUGUGGUAAUUACCUGCCCCUCAUUAUUUUGCUUUUAGAAUAUUUUUAAAGCUUAGGUUACUAAAAUUUCAAAUAAUCCUGGGCCGUGCUGUCAUGGGUCUUUAUCCAAAUGAAUCGUGGUCUCUUGUAAACAGUCCUGUGAUCUGAUUUCCAUUGGGACAGAAGUUGUAAAAGGCCAGGGAUUUUCAAUGGAUUUACACAUAUACUGUUUCAGUUAAGUUACCAAGGUCGACUUAACAGACAUUUUCCUCAGAAUCCUAAAUACACUUGCCACCCAGUCUCCUUCUGCCGCUCUGGAAGGAAUGGGUGGUGAGAUGAAAGAGGCUGUGGGUGCAGGCGGGGAGGCAGCCCGGCCUCAGUGACAUUUCCAACAUGAUUUCCUUCUGUAGUUGGUACUGUCAGCUAACUAGCUUGGUGGCAUUUGUUGCUGAAAAGCUGACUCAGAAAGAUAGGUGAACGUAGAGGCAGGGGCUGGAGUGCUCUUCUUUUGGAAAGUUAUGUUCCGCUGAAGCCAUUUUGUGAGGAACAGAUGCCUACGAAGAAAGCUGGCAACUGGAAUUUGGUUGUCCACGAAGGCACUGAAGCAGCGCAGCCUUGAUCCUCAAUCUUGGUUCCCCUCCCCUGCCCUUCAGCACAAAAGGAGAGGAGCUGGCUUUCUCGAGACUCGCUCAGUCCAGGCUGGAACUAUUACAAACAAAUAUUAAUAACACUCCAUUACUCUGGCUACAUUUUCAAUAAAGUUUAAAUAGUCUGAGUUAUGAUGAUUAGCGAGAAAUGUACGGAUAAUAAAGGUAAAUGAGAUUCAUAUUUAAUCCCCAACUCC
Molecule: long non-coding RNA, 2736 nt
Filed under: Homo sapiens (human)
Lineage: Eukaryota; Metazoa; Chordata; Mammalia; Primates; Hominidae
Description: non-protein coding lnc-SPRED2-18:1
Source: RNAcentral